UACGUAGGGCGCGAGCGUUGUCCGGAAUUAUUGGGCGUAAAGAGCUCGUAGGCGGUUUGUCGCGUCUGCUGUGAAAUCCUCAGGCUCAACUUGGGGCGUGCAGUGGGUACGGGCAGACUAGAGUGCGGUAGGGGAGACUGGAAUUCCUGGUGUAGCGGUGGAAUGCGCAGAUAUCAGGAGGAACACCGAUGGCGAAGGCAGGUCUCUGGGCCGUUACUGACGCUGAGGAGCGAAAGCAUGGGGAGCGAACAGGAUUAGAUACCCUGGUAGUCCAUGCCGUAAACGUUGGGCACUAGGUGUGGGGUCCAUUCCACGGGUUCCGCGCCGUAGCUAACGCAUUAAGUGCCCCGCCUGGGGAGUACGGCCGCAAGGCUAAA
RNAcentral lists this ribosomal RNA (377 nucleotides) under uncultured bacterium. RNAcentral's name for it is "bacterial SSU rRNA". It matches the Rfam family "Bacterial small subunit ribosomal RNA", at positions 524 to 898 of the family's 1533-position model. The record is from RNAcentral.